GAUGAACGCUAGCUACAGGCUUAACACAUGCAAGUCGAGGGGUAACGAGAGGAAAGCUUGCUUUCCUUGUCGACGACCGGCGCACGGGUGAGUAACGCGUAUCCAACCUGCCCCCAACUAGGGAAUAACCUUGCGAAAGUAAGACUAAUACCCUAUAAUUUCCUCAGAUGUCAUCUGACGAGGAAUAAAGAUUUAUCGGUUGUGGAUGGGGAUGCGUCUGAUUAGCUUGUUGGCGGGGUAACGGCCCACCAAGGCAACGAUCAGUAGGGGUUCUGGGAGGAAGGUCCCCCACAGUGGAACUGAGACACGGUCCAAACUCCUACGGGAGGCAGCAGUGAGGAAUAUUGUUCAAUGGGCGGAAGCCUGAACCAGCCAAGUAGCGUGCAGGAUGACGGCCCUAUGGGUUGUAAACUGCUUUUAUACAGGAAUAAAGUUAGCCACGUGUGGUUAUUUGUAGGUACUGUAUGAAUAAGGACCGGCUAAUUCCGUGCCAGCCGCCGCGGUAA
RNAcentral lists this ribosomal RNA (506 nucleotides) under uncultured bacterium. Its description in RNAcentral is "partial 16S ribosomal RNA". It matches the Rfam family "Bacterial small subunit ribosomal RNA", at positions 28 to 523 of the family's 1533-position model. The record is from RNAcentral.